ACAGACCGUUCAGAGUUUGAUCCUGGCUCAGGAUGAACGCUAGCGGCAGGCUUAACACAUGCAAGUCGAGGGGCAGCGUAAACAUUGCUUGCAAUGUUUGAUGGCGACCGGCGCACGGGUGCGUAACGCGUAUGUAACCUACCUCGAACAGGGGCAUAACACUGAGAAAUUGGUACUAAUUCCCCAUAACACCUGAGAGGGCAUCCUUUUGGGUUGAAAGUUCCGGCGGUUUGAGAUGGACAUGCGUUGUAUUAGCUAGUUGGUGGGGUAACGGCUCACCAAGGCGACGAUACAUAGGGGGACUGAGAGGUUAACCCCCACAUUGGUACUGAGACACGGACCAA
RNAcentral lists this ribosomal RNA (344 nucleotides) under uncultured bacterium. Its description in RNAcentral is "bacterial SSU rRNA". It matches the Rfam family "Bacterial small subunit ribosomal RNA", at positions 1 to 334 of the family's 1533-position model. The record is from RNAcentral.